GAGGGUUUUCGCCUUCAGUGCUGCAGCUAACGCAUUUAAGUAAUCCGCUGGGGAGUACGACCGCAAGGUUGAAACUCAAAAGAAUUGACGGGGGCCCGCACAAGCGGUGGAGCAUGUGGUUUAAUUCGAAGCUACGCGAAGAACCUUACCAGGUCUUGACAUCUUCUGCCAACCUAAGAGAUUAGGCGUUCCCUUCGGGGACAGAAUGACAGGUGGUGCAUGGUUGUCGUCAGCUCGUGUCGUGAGAUGUUGGGUUAAGUCCCGCAACGAGCGCAACCCUUAUUACUAGUUGCCAGCAUUCAGUUGGGCACUCUAGUGAGACUGCCGGUGACAAACCGGAGGAAGGUGGGGACGACGUCAAAUCAUCAUGCCCCUUAUGACCUGGGCUACACACGUGCUACAAUGGAUGGUACAACGAGUCGCGAAACCGCGAGGUUUAGCUAAUCUCUUAAAACCAUUCUCAGUUCGGACUGUAGGCUGCAACUCGCCUACACGAAGUCGGAAUCGCUAGUAAUCGCGGAUCAGCAUGCCGCGGUGAAUACGUUCCCGGGCCUUGUACACACCGCCCGUCACACCAUGAGAGUUUGUAACACCUCAAAGCCGGUGGGGUAACCUUUUAGGAGCUAGCCGU
This 631-nucleotide ribosomal RNA is filed under the name Pediococcus sp. RNAcentral describes it as "bacterial SSU rRNA". It matches the Rfam family "Bacterial small subunit ribosomal RNA", at positions 826 to 1456 of the family's 1533-position model. Lineage: Bacteria; Bacillati; Bacillota; Bacilli; Lactobacillales; Lactobacillaceae. The record is from RNAcentral.